GAGUCGUAACAAGGUUUCCGUAGGUGAACCUGCGGAAGGAUCAUU
This 45-nucleotide ribosomal RNA is filed under the name Solanum americanum. RNAcentral's name for it is "partial 18S ribosomal RNA". It matches the Rfam family "Eukaryotic small subunit ribosomal RNA", at positions 1786 to 1830 of the family's 1831-position model. The record is from RNAcentral. Lineage: Eukaryota; Viridiplantae; Streptophyta; Magnoliopsida; Solanales; Solanaceae.